UGCCUCUGUUUGAUAGACACAGAGCAAUUAUUGUCUGCUGCUAAGGCUUCCAUUACAGAUGCAAGAAAAGCAUCCCUGUGCUUUCUGUCUGUCUGACCGUGGCAGCCAAAAGUGAAGGGCAAAUGCAGAGGGAAAUGAGGAGCAGUU
RNAcentral lists this small nucleolar RNA (147 nucleotides) under Peromyscus maniculatus bairdii (prairie deer mouse). RNAcentral's name for it is "Small nucleolar RNA SNORA31 (ENSPEMG00000004699.2)". Lineage: Eukaryota; Metazoa; Chordata; Mammalia; Rodentia; Cricetidae. The record is from RNAcentral.